GACGGUUACAGCAGUUUGAAAAGUGGUGUUAUAAACUCCGCCAGCAGGUGGACAGAUUGCUGGCAGCAGAUUGAUUGGCAGAAUCAAUGGGGGCCACUAGAGGUUACCUGAUGGUGCCAUGGAAAAGCAGCAUGGUUUCUGUCCAGCCCCUUUGAUGCCCGACGUGAAUCGCCUGACCUCCGCCUGUACCCCGACUACGAGACCUGCCCAGCCCCCAAGACCAACUCCGUACAUCGCCCGACCCCAGCCUGUCCCACGACUACGAUCCAGUCUGCUCCUUUUGUUUAUUUCUGAGCGAUACGUUCACCAGUAAACCUUCUGGUCUUCAGACAGUUUUCGCUUUAUUUGUAAAAGUCACUUGCACCUGAUUCCGCGACAGCGUCCUCUUUGCCCCCUACCUAAACCGUCACAACGUUUCCAUUAUAAAAAUGAAGAGGCAAGUGUAUCACGUCAGGCUAGCAAAGUACGACCCAGAGGCAGACUAGUUUACAUUUCCCCGAGCUGGG
Non-coding RNA from Paramormyrops kingsleyae, 506 nucleotides. Lineage: Eukaryota; Metazoa; Chordata; Actinopteri; Osteoglossiformes; Mormyridae. The record is from RefSeq and is a predicted model, not a curated record.